UAUCUCUGUACUCUACCAUUCUCAACCCAUAUACCCUCCUGAGUUUGCUGUCUCCUGAGCACCAAGUAUAUACUGUGCUAGAUUUAAAAGAUAUUUUUUCAGUCUGCCUCUUUCCUCAGCUAGCCAGCCUAUAUUUGCCUUCUAAUGGACUGACCCAGCUUCCAAUGAUUCUUGGCAACUCAUUUGGACCUGGCUCCCUCAAGGAUUCAAGAAUGCAACCACUCUGUUCUGUGAGGCCUUCCAGAAGGACUUAUUUGUUGAGUUUUUGAUCCCAUGACCCUAACCUCACCUUGCUUCAAUAUGUGGAAGAUCUGUUGUUAGCUGCUGCCAUUUGUUCAGAAUGCCUUCAGGAAACAAGAGCUCCUACAAUUGCUAGAGGAGUUGGGCUAAUGUGUCUUGGCUAAAAAGGCACAACUCUGUGCUUCCCAUGCAUCGUACCUGUGGUAUGAGACCUCAAAAGGAAGAAAAACUUUGUCUCAGGCAAGGAAAUGGGCCAUUCUCCAGAUACCCAUGCCAACUACCAAGAAACAGGUACAAGAAUUUCUAGGUGCAGCUGGAUACUGUGGCCUCUGGAUACCUGGGUUUGCCAAGAUAGUACAGCCCUGAAAUCAACCCCUAGAGUGGAGAAGAAAAGAAGAAAAGGUGUUCCAGGAUUUAAAACAAGCUCUGGUGUCAGCCCCGACUCUGGUGUUGCCUGGCAUCAAUCACCAAACUGUUCCAACUGUUCACUCAUGAGGUUCUCAGUCUGGCAACACUGAUGCCACAUGAUGACCCCAAUACCCCAAUGCAUGACUGUGAGGAGGUGUUGGACCACACCUAGGGAGGCUGCUCAGACCUAAUGGACAUCCCCCAGCUGAGGCUGACACCACUCUCUUCACUGAUGGAAGUAGCAUGGUGUCUCUUCAACAGGUAUGGGCUUCUGUCCAUGCCAGAGUACGAGCUACCUUACCCCAGCCCAGCUCUGCACCUUGCCACUCAUUCCAGCCAGGGGACACUUCCUCAAGGCCUUCCAGAAAGGGGCUCAUCCUGCUGUGGAAUGGACCACACACUGUCAUCCUCAGCACUCCCUUCACUCUCAAGGGAAAGUCCUUAAGUCACAUCUGCAGGGCCCUGUCCUGGCUCCAUGACUUUGAGCAGAAGAAACAGCAAGAAGAGGCCCACUGUCUCCUUGAACCUGAAGCCGGCCCCUCGCCUGAGGGGCAGACUUGCAUCCUGCAAUCUUGUCUUCCUGCCAAGCAUCCCCCACCACUCUGAGACCUACACAAGAGCCAGACUGGGUCACCAAGUUUGUGCAGAGGAAGGAAGGAAGGGACCUGGCAGAGCAAGUGAAGGUGAGGGCUGGGUAGCAUCCUCGAGUCAGUGGAUGCAGAGUCACCUCUGCUGACGGAACCAGCCAUCACUAGUCAAACAGUACCCGAGCAGAGGGGUGAGGAUUAAGAAAGAAAAACACUGACUCAAAGGAAAAGAAAAAGGAGAGAGGAGGAGAGACCUCUCUCCCCACUUUAUUGACCCUUUUAUAUCCUUUCCACAGUUCCCCUCCCCUCCUCACCACAUGAUCAGGUGACUAGUUUACAGAGAAAAGGUCAAGUGUAUCUUUACAAUUCCAGGGAUGUUAUUUCUUUGCUUUGCAGACAUUCAGAUUCUUUCUAUUUUUACUACUCUCUUCACAAGUCAACAUCCUUGUUUUCGUGCCAGUUUCAUAUCCAGGGUUCAUUAUACUCUCAAGAGGCUCAGAGGUCUUUCAAGGUUGUUUCAACCCUUCGCUCUCCACACUCUGCAUCCUUCUGAGCCGUGGUCACCUGUCCUUCUCUGGGCACCACUCCCCAUGCACUGUGUACCCAUGGUUGGCCUUGGUGAUGGGUCUGGGCCCUGGAUGCAAUGGAGGGAGGAGUCUGACCAGGCUGUGGCCCAGGAAGGGAUGCAGACUUCCUGCCCCAGGCAGCAAGGGUGACUUGCCAGUUUGAGGUUCAGAGGGACUCCUGGAACCCUCAUUGCUCUAGAGGAUGGCAGGGUCCCUGCAGGAGUCUCCUCACUGCUGUGUCCCCCCCCCAG
Molecule: long non-coding RNA, 2052 nt
Filed under: Heterocephalus glaber (naked mole-rat)
Lineage: Eukaryota; Metazoa; Chordata; Mammalia; Rodentia; Bathyergidae
Description: lncRNA (ENSHGLG00100051252.1)
Source: RNAcentral